UACGUAGGGUGCGAGCGUUAAUCGGAAUUACUGGGCGUAAAGCAUGCGCAGGCGGUGGCUCAAGCCAGGCGUGAAAUCCCCGGGCUUAACCUGGGAAUGGCGUUUGGGACUGGGUCGCUAGAGUGUGGCAGAGGGAGGUGGAAUUCCACGUGUAGCAGUGAAAUGCGUAGAGAUGUGGAGGAGCACCGAUGGCGAAGGCAGCCUCCUGGGCCAGCACUGACGCUCAUGCACGAAAGCGUGGGGAGCAAACAGG
This 253-nucleotide ribosomal RNA is filed under the name uncultured bacterium. Its description in RNAcentral is "partial 16S ribosomal RNA". It matches the Rfam family "Bacterial small subunit ribosomal RNA", at positions 524 to 776 of the family's 1533-position model. The record is from RNAcentral.